Molecule: ribosomal RNA, 318 nt
Filed under: Oenococcus oeni
Lineage: Bacteria; Bacillati; Bacillota; Bacilli; Lactobacillales; Lactobacillaceae
Description: bacterial SSU rRNA
Rfam family: Bacterial small subunit ribosomal RNA
Source: RNAcentral
CAUACCAAUGAUCGCUUUUGUAAUGAAAGCUUUUCUUCGGAACAUUGGAUACRGGUGGUGCAUGGUCGUCGUCAGCUCGUGUCGUGAGAUGUUGGGUUAAGUCCCGCAACGAGCGCAACCCUUGUUAUUAGUUGCCAGCAUUUAGUUGGGCACUCUAAUGAGACUGCCGGUGAUAAACCGGAGGAAGGUGGGGACGACGUCAGAUCAUCAUGCCCCUUAUGACCUGGGCAACACACGUGCUACAAUGGGAAGUACAACGAGUCGCAAACCGGCGACGGUAAGCUAAUCUCUUAAAACUUCUCUCAGUUCGGACUGGAG